This 253-nucleotide ribosomal RNA is filed under the name uncultured bacterium. RNAcentral's name for it is "partial 16S ribosomal RNA". It matches the Rfam family "Bacterial small subunit ribosomal RNA", at positions 524 to 776 of the family's 1533-position model. The record is from RNAcentral.
UACGGGGGGGGCAAGCGUUGUCCGGAAUUAUUGGGCGUAAAGAGCUCGUAGGCGGUCUGUCACGUCGGCUGUGAAAACCCGAGGCUCAACCUCGGGCCUGCAGUCGAUACGGGCAAACUAGAGUACUGCAGGGGAGACUGGAAUUCCUGGUGUAGCGGUGAAAUGCGCAGAUAUCAGGAGGAACACCGGUGGCGAAGGCGGGUCUCUGGGCAGUAACUGACGCUGAGGAGCGAAAGCGUGGGGAGCGAACAGG